GUGGGGAAUAUUGGACAAUGGGCGCAAGCCUGAUCCAGCCAUGCCGCGUGAGUGAUGAAGGCCUUAGGGUUGUAAAGCUCUUUCAGUGGGGACGAUAAUGACGGUACCCACAGAAGAAGCCCCGGCUAACUUCGUGCCAGCAGCCGCGGUAAUACGAAGGGGGCUAGCGUUGUUCGGAUUUACUGGGCGUAAAGCGCACGUAGGCGGAUCGUUAAGUCGGGGGUGAAAUCCUGGAGCUCAACUCCAGAACUGCCUUCGAUACUGGCGAUCUUGAGUCCGGAAGAGGUGAGUGGAACUCCUAGUGUAGAGGUGGAAUUCGUAGAUAUUAGGAAGAACACCAGUGGCGAAGGCGGCUCACUGGUCCGGUACUGACGCUGAGGUGCGAAAGCGUGGGGAGCAAACAGGAUUAGAUACCCCAGUCC
Molecule: ribosomal RNA, 422 nt
Filed under: uncultured bacterium
Lineage: Bacteria
Description: partial 16S ribosomal RNA
Rfam family: Bacterial small subunit ribosomal RNA
Source: RNAcentral